UGCUAGCGAGAGAUCAAAUGGGGCCUAAAAAUGCAAUAUUGUCGCCACAGCCCCAACACGCCAACAGCCAGCUGCUCAGGCUGCUCAGCACCACACUCCCGCGGUGCCGCCGUCCGGCGUUAUCCCGAAUCCAAACCCCUCCCUCACAGGCUCCCUCUCAGCGAUAGCGGCAUCCGAGCCCUCCUGCGCGCCCACUAGGGUUUAUCUCAAGCGAGGCCGCGCCAACCGCCAAUGGCGCUCGCGCGCCCGUCCUCCGCUCUCCUCUCAUGCUCCUCGUCCGCCUGCCUCCGCCGGCUCAACCCGCUCCUCCUCUCUGCCGCCGCCUGCCGCCGCCCGGCGUGGGCCCCGCGCCGCGUCGCCCGCAGGUUCUCCGCAGCGAUUGCCUCCGAGACGGAUGUGUUCAACUCCCCGGAGGUCGCUAAGUCGUUCGACUUCACCAACGAGGAGAAAAUUUACAAAUGGUGGGAAUCUCAAGGAUUCUUUAAGCCUAACUUUGACCGUGGAGGAGAUCCAUUUGUCAUCCCGAUGCCACCACCAAAUGUUACCGGAUCACUGCAUAUGGGCCAUGCUAUGUUUGUCACACUUGAGGAUAUAAUGGUUAGAUAUUUCCGAAUGAAAGGGAGACCUGCGCUGUGGAUACCUGGCACUGACCAUGCUGGGAUUGCGACUCAGUUGGUUGUGGAAAAGAUGCUGGCCGCUGAAGGUGUCAAGAGGACAGAUAUGACGCGAGAGGAGUUCACCAAAAAAGUUUGGGAGUGGAAAGAGAAAUAUGGGGGUACUAUCACUAAUCAGAUUAAGCGAUUGGGUGCAUCUUGUGAUUGGAGUCGUGAGCGUUUCACUCUUGAUGAACAAUUGAGCCGUGCAGUUGCUGAAGCAUUCGUUAGGCUUCAUGAUAAAGGGCUUAUAUAUCAAGGAUCUUAUUUGGUCAACUGGUCUCCUAACCUGCAAACUGCAGUAUCUGAUUUAGAAGUAGAAUACUCUGAAGAACCUGGAAAUUUGUACUUCAUCAAGUACCGUGUUGCUGGCGGAACCAGGGAUGAUUUUAUGACUAUCGCAACCACAAGACCUGAAACAAUAUUUGGUGAUGUUGCAAUUGCUGUUAAUCCGGAGGAUAAGCGUUAUGCACAAUAUGUUGGCAAAUUGGCUAUUGUACCGUUGACAUGUGGGAGACAUGUCCCUAUUAUUGCUGAUCGGUAUGUUGAUCCAGAAUUUGGAACUGGGGUGCUGAAGAUUAGCCCUGGACAUGAUCAUAACGAUUAUCAUAUUGCUCGAAAGCUUGGACUGCCAAUUCUUAAUGUUAUGAACAAAGAUGGUACGCUCAAUGAUGUUGCUGGAAUAUACAGUGGUAUGGAUCGAUUUGAAGCCCGAGAGAAAUUGUGGUCUGACCUUGUUGAGACUAACUUAGCAGUAAAGAAAGAACCAUAUACACUUCGAGUCCCUAGGUCCCAACGGGGUGGUGAAGUUAUUGAGCCUUUGAUUAGUAAGCAAUGGUUUGUUACGAUGGAGCCAUUGGCUGAAAAGGCUCUCCAUGCUGUUGAAAAGGGGCAAUUAACCAUUCUUCCGGAGAGAUUUGAGAAGAUUUAUAAUCAUUGGCUAACGAACAUAAAGGAUUGGUGUAUAAGUAGACAAUUGUGGUGGGGUCAUCGUAUACCAGUUUGGUAUAUUGUUGGAAAGAAAUGUGAAGAAGACUAUAUUGUUGCUAGAACCGAAGAGGAGGCGAUUGCAGAAGCUCAUGAAAAAUAUGGAAAAUCAGUUGAAAUAUAUCAAGACCCUGAUGUUCUUGAUACUUGGUUCUCAAGUGCUCUGUGGCCUUUCAGCACGCUUGGUUGGCCUGAUCUUUCCAAGGAGGAUUAUAAGCAUUUUUAUCCUUCAACUGUUCUGGAGACAGGCCACGAUAUUUUGUUCUUCUGGGUUGCACGAAUGGUCAUGAUGGGAAUUGAGUUCACAGGAUCAGUACCAUUUUCUUAUGUCUAUCUACAUGGUCUUAUCCGGGAUGCUGAGGGUCGAAAAAUGUCGAAGACAUUAGGGAAUGUCAUUGAUCCCCUAGAUACCAUCAAAGAGUACGGGACAGAUGCUUUGAGAUUUACACUAUCUUUGGGCACUGCAGGCCAGGACCUCAAUCUCUCUACAGAAAGGUUGACGUCAAAUAAGGCUUUCACAAACAAGCUGUGGAACGCAGGGAAAUUUUUGUUACAGAACUUGCCUGAUAAAAAUGAUGUCUCUGCAUGGGAUGUCUUGUUGUCUAAUAAGUUCGACUCAGAAGCAUCACUCCAGAAACUGCCAUUGCCAGAAUGCUGGGUGGUUACAGGACUACAUGAACUCAUCGAUAAGGUCAGCAGAAGCUAUGAUAAGUUUUUCUUCGGAGAUGCUGCUAGAGAAAUAUAUGAUUACUUCUGGGGGGAUUUUGCUGAUUGGUAUAUUGAAGCUAGCAAAACACGGCUUUACCACUCGAGUGACAAGAUCGCUGCUGCUACAGCCCAGAGUGUUCUGGUGUAUGUGUUUGAAAACAUACUGAAGUUAUUGCAUCCCUUCAUGCCAUUCGUCACUGAAGAAUUAUGGCAGGCAUUUCCAUACAGAAAACAAGCACUUAUGGUUACUCCCUGGCCUACCACUGACCUUCCUAAAGAUUUGAGGUCCAUCAAACGGUUCCAGAAUUUGCAAUCAUUGAUAAGAGGAAUCAGAAAUGUUCGAGCAGAAUAUUCUGUUGAGCCAGCUAAACGGAUAUCAGCUUCUGUUGUUGCUACUGCGGAUGUCCUGGAAUACGUAUCAGUAAGUGUGCAGAUCCAUUUUGUUAGUGACACUUUUUUUCUCGAAUGCGCAGGAGAACUGCGCAUCUUAUAUAAAAGAGAGGAAGAAAAGCCAUACAAAAGAUGGCAUCUUGCUGAGCAAGUUCCCCAAGGAUCCUACACACAACCGUAGGACAUUACAAACCGGAACCAAGACUUGACCCUACCUCGCUAAGAGCUGCAACUAAGCCUAGGUGCUUUAGCUCUUCAGCUCCUGCCAUAGCCCAGCUAGUACAUUCAUCCAGGAACCUUCGAAGAAUUCUAGAUAAUGAGGGGGACUCCCCUUCAAACACUGUUCUGUUUCUCUGGAUCCAUAGACACCAAGCUCCCAGGAGGCCAGGAUGAUCAAGGAGUUAAGCCCCUUUUUCAUGUUCUUGGAAACCCUGAGGCUCAUUCUUCUCCACCAUUCUGCAAAAGACUCCUCGUCAGCUGUAGGAGUGAGGUGUCCCAAGCCAAGAGCAGAAAGAAUUUUGUGCCAAAAUCGCCGAGCAAAGAUGCAAGCAGAAAGAAGGUGCUGAAUUGUCUCCUGGGCUUGAUCACACAUGGGGCAAACAUCCGGAGGGAGAAGCAGGUCCUAGCAUUACUUUCAAAGCUUGACGUUCAGAACGUACAUUUUACUGAAUCAGCACCAGGCGAUGCAAACCAGUCGGUUCACAUUGUUGCUGAUGAGGGUUUGGAGGCGUAUCUACCUUUGGCUGAUAUGGUUGACGUGUCUGAAGAGGUUAAGCGGCUCUCCAAGCGCCUCUCCAAGAUGCAGUCGGAGUAUGAUGCUCUUGUUGCCCGACUCAAUUCCCCAAGUUUUGUUGAAAAGGCCCCUGAAGAUAUUGUUCGCGGAGUUCGUGAAAAAGCGUCUGAGGCAGACGAGAAGAUCUCUCUAACUAAAAAUCGUCUCACUUUUCUGCAAUCAACCAUUACCACUUAAAUACAGUAAUCCACGGGGACUCUACCAGGAUGCCAUUUUGAUCGAUGACGCAGGACAAAACUGAUUGUUAAUAGUUUUUGGUUGAAGGAUAUGAUAGAUUGGCAACGAAGUUGUGCCUUGUCCAGCAGAAACACACAUUCUUUCUAGUUCAUAUCUGUUGUCUCUUGAAACUUAAAACAUACAUUCGGCUAGGCAUAUAAUUUAUAUUCCUGACUUAUGGUUUUAGAGCCUUUCGGGAUGCCCUUAGUUGAGGUAAAUUUUGUUCUGCCUCUGAAGUUUUGCUGAUGCCAUUGUUAGUAAUAUUCAUAUUUUGUAAGGUGGGCGCACGUUAUUAGAUAUGAAUGAUCUGUAA
Molecule: RNA transcript, 4060 nt
Organism: Zea mays
Lineage: Eukaryota; Viridiplantae; Streptophyta; Magnoliopsida; Poales; Poaceae
Exons: 27
Source: RefSeq, marked validated